CGUCAUUUGCCGUACACCCGCUGCCCUUGUCACGGCAUAAGAAGACGCAAAACGCUAGUGUGCUAUCGAUUUGCUUGCAAAGCGUUAGUCCUUUCAUAUUUACCCCUUAACCUCACUUCAAAAGUUCUUUAAGUCUCAGAAUGUCGUCUUCGUCUGGGCUGCGUUCCAUGGCCGUGGACGUUCCGCGCAUGCGGUGUGGAGCUGCAUCGUCAACUUCUGAAAAGCAGCCAACGGCCACGCAAGCGCAAGGUAUACCUCAGGAGCCGCCGCGCCUUGUCCAAACGAAAACACUGACCGGCGUCUGCUGCUUUUCCCUGCUUGAACUUGAAUAUGUCCAAAUACCCACAGAUUCCUUCUGUUAUUAUGCCACGAGGUGAGAGAGGUUACCUUUUCACUGCAGCUUCUGUGCUUCGCGGCAUGCGAACGGGCUUGGUCCUUACCUAUUGGUUAAUUUGGUGCCUUGUAGUCCUACGGCGGUGGCAUUUUAUGAUUUCUCUUUGGGUUCCGCUGGCCGAGCUGAACAACCAACAUUUUCUGGAGUCAACUUCUUCUCACGUUUGUUUGCCGCGUCGUCAUCGUCAUAAAUGGUUACAACGUCGCCUGCGCUAUGUUCAAGGCUGAUUGUACUCGCUUUCUAUGCAUUGGCUUAUCGGCCAGUUUGGGCUUUUCGCCUGUCGAAUGUGUGACGACCUGUCCUCGUUGUGUCUCCUGACGUGCAAGCGCUGUUAUGACUAGUUCCCAUUUAGCGAUUGUUAACAAUUCAUGUACACAAUUAGGCUGAUGCGCCCUCAAUUAAUGCUGGCUAUGGUGUUACCAGGUUCAUAUUGAACUGUGUUGGCGGUAAGGAGGUUGCAUUUGCUCCGCGCAAUCGUGUGUGAAGCGCUCUGCGCUGUCCCAACCAGCAUCAUGUGCAUAGGGCAUCAUGUUCAUAGUCCACUUGCAUUUACUGCUGUCUUGAGUGUGUCUUGAGUGUUUUUUCUCUUCCGCGGCGUGCUGUUAGGCGGGAUUCCCCUUCGUGCAUUCUCGGUUGCGUGCCUGCUAUUUGGUGCCCCGGAGCUCGGCGAUUUUUAUUCUUGAUUAGCGCCCGUGACACGCGUGACGAGUAACAAAAUAGACGUGUCAGGAUGCUGGUCGUCUCGAUAGGUGUGGCGCGCGUAAACUUGCGCGCUAUUUGACGCGAUUUAUCGCUGAGAUCAUCCCUGGAAGGGCAUGGCGGAGCACGUUGCGGCUGCUAUGGAAAGGGGUAUGCAAGGGGGAUAAGACCCGCAGGGGUUGCCGAAUACAUUUCUUUAUUCUACUUUCUUGAUGGAGAGUGCUUGUCUUACUGCCGAGGCUGUCUUGCCUUUGCCCUCACUGGUUUGAAAUGUUAAUAUGCACCUAUGCACGUUUCUGAUAGGACAUGCUUUCCUGUCAAUGGUUUUGGAGCUAUGUACGGCCAAGUGGAUGUUGUUGUGGGGAAUUAAUGCAUUCUGAUCGUUGCAGGCAUUCAGACGAAUCCGAUGAUGAAGUGCACAGUGCACCGGAGAGAUUGUUGGAUUUCCGCUAUAGCUUUUUGCUGAGAAGACAAUACAUGUAAUGGCCCCCCAUUGAAGAUUCGUUUUGGACGCUUGGCAAAUGGUGGGCAAAUGAUGAGUUAACACAUAUCACCGCCGGCAGGCAGAGUUAAGACAUUCAUAUGAAUUUUAAGCUUCCACACCAAACCGUUCCAACAAUACCUUGACUCAAAGUAGAAGAUUAUGAUGCUGCCUUGUUGUACCUCACACGACUUGGUUCACAAAAGCGAACCAGUAAUGCAAAAACACCCAUCGCCGUGGGCAGAAACGCUCUGCCUUCGCCGACCACAUCCCCCCGCCCCCUCCCCCCACCGCACAUUGCCAGCAGCUCCCCCAAGUAGCUGUCUAGCCUUCCCCGCCCGAGCAUGCAACCCCGCGCUCGCGUCUCCCCCACGUAGGGACUUGCUCCUCGUACCGCACCACCACCACACCCGCCACGAACACACAGGCAGCCGCGGCCACCAUCAACGUCACUUCCACCCCAACCCAGUCCGCCACGGGCCCCCCUAAAGCCCCGAUUGCAUAGCCCAGGUCCCGCCAGAAGCGGUACGUCGCCAUCGCAGCCGCCAUGGAAUGCCCUGGCGACACCUCUCCACCCUCUGCCUCCGCUAUUCUACCCCCUGUCAUCGCUAAACCUCCCGCCCUCCCCGCCCCGCCACCCGCCGCCGCCUCAUAACCCUGGCCCCUCUGCCGCUCGAGCUGGUGGUGAUGGUCCACCACGGCCGCCGGCAUCACCGGGUAAAACACACCAGCACCCGAGCCCAUGAGGCAGCUUCCCAGCAU
Molecule: long non-coding RNA, 2336 nt
Filed under: Volvox carteri
Lineage: Eukaryota; Viridiplantae; Chlorophyta; Chlorophyceae; Chlamydomonadales; Volvocaceae
Description: long non-coding RNA (VCAR_LNC001466)
Source: RNAcentral